This 480-nucleotide ribosomal RNA is filed under the name uncultured bacterium. RNAcentral's name for it is "partial 16S ribosomal RNA". It matches the Rfam family "Bacterial small subunit ribosomal RNA", at positions 28 to 507 of the family's 1533-position model. The record is from RNAcentral.
GACGAACGCUGGCGGCGCGCCUAACACAUGCAAGUCGAGCGAUGAAAUUUUAACCGAUCUCUUCGGAGAGAAGAUAAAAUGGAUUAGCGGCGGACGGGUGAGUAACACGUGAGAAACCUGCCUUUCACAAGGGGAUAGCCUCGGGAAACCGGGAUUAAUACCCUAUGACACAUUUCCUUCGCAUGGAAGAAAUGUUAAAACUCCGGUGGUGAAAGAUGGUCUCGCGCCUGAUUAGCUAGUUGGUGGGGUAACGGCCCACCAAGGCCAUGAUCAGUAACCGGGCUGAGAGGGUGAACGGUCACAAUGGAACUGAGACACGGUCCAAACUCCUACGGGAGGCAGCAGUGGGGAAUAUUGCACAAUGGAGGAAACUCUGAUGCAGCGACGCCGCGUGAGCGAUGAAGGCUUUCGAGUCGUAAAGCUCUGUCCUAUGGGAAGAUAAUGACGGUACCAUAGGAGGAAGCCCCGGCUAACUACGUG